Molecule: ribosomal RNA, 1606 nt
Filed under: Salmonella enterica subsp. houtenae
Lineage: Bacteria; Pseudomonadati; Pseudomonadota; Gammaproteobacteria; Enterobacterales; Enterobacteriaceae
Description: partial 23S ribosomal RNA
Rfam family: Bacterial large subunit ribosomal RNA
Source: RNAcentral
AGACCCGAAACCCGGUGAUCUAGCCAUGGGCAGGUUGAAGGUUGGGUAACACUAACUGGAGGACCGAACCGACUAAUGUUGAAAAAUUAGCGGAUGACCUGUGGCUGGGGGUGAAAGGCCAAUCAAACCGGGAGAUAGCUGGUUCUCCCCGAAAGCUAUUUAGGUAGCGCCUCGUGAAUUCAUCUCCGGGGGUAGAGCACUGUUUCGGCCAGGGGGCCAUCCCGGCUUACCAAUCCGAUGCAAACUGCGAAUACCGGAGAAUGUUAUCACGGGAGACACACGGCGGGUGCUAACGUCCGUCGUGAAGAGGGAAACAACCCAGACCGCCAGCUAAGGUCCCAAAGUCAUGGUUAAGUGGGAAACGAUGUGGGAAGGCCCAGACAGCCAGGAUGUUGGCUUAGAAGCAGCCAUCAUUUAAAGAAAGCGUAAUAGCUCACUGGUCGAGUCGGCCUGCGCGGAAGAUGUAACGGGGCUAAACCAUGCACCGAAGCUGCGGCAGCGAACGUAUCACCCAAGACAACUUUGCACAGUUGACGAUUGACGGAGCGAAGCGACGUCAAAGCGUUUUACAACGUCGAGUUGGCUUAGGGAUACGUUCGUUGGGUAGGGGAGCGUUCUGUAAGCCGUUGAAGGUGGCCUGUGAGGGUUGCUGGAGGUAUCAGAAGUGCGAAUGCUGACAUAAGUAACGAUAAAGCGGGUGAAAAGCCCGCUCGCCGGAAGACCAAGGGUUCCUGUCCAACGUUAAUCGGGGCAGGGUGAGUCGACCCCUAAGGCGAGGCCGAAAGGCGUAGUCGAUGGGAAACAGGUUAAUAUUCCUGUACUUGGUGUUACUGCGAAGGGGGGACGGAGAAGGCUAUGUUGGCCGGGCGACGGUUGUCCCGGUUUAAGCGUGUAGGUGUGUGUUCCAGGUAAAUCCGGUUCACUUUAACACUGAGGCGUGAUGACGAGGCACUACGGUGCUGAAGCAACAAAUGCCCUGCUUCCAGGAAAAGCCUCUAAGCCUCAGGUAACAUCAAAUCGUACCCCAAACCGACACAGGUGGUCAGGUAGAGAAUACCAAGGCGCUUGAGAGAACUCGGGUGAAGGAACUAGGCAAAAUGGUGCCGUAACUUCGGGAGAAGGCACGCUGACAGGUAGGUGAAGUGGUUUACCCAUGGAGCUGAAGUCAGUCGAAGAUACCAGCUGGCUGCAACUGUUUAUUAAAAACACAGCACUGUGCAAACACGAAAGUGGACGUAUACGGUGUGACGCCUGCCCGGUGCCGGAAGGUUAAUUGAUGGGGUCAGCGCAAGCGAAGCUCCUGAUCGAAGCCCCGGUAAACGGCGGCCGUAACUAUAACGGUCCUAAGGUAGCGAAAUUCCUUGUCGGGUAAGUUCCGACCUGCACGAAUGGCGUAAUGAUGGCCAGGCUGUCUCCACCCGGGACUCAGUGAAAUUGAACUCGCUGUGAAGAUGCAGUGUACCCGCGGCAAGACGGAAAGACCCCGUGAACCUUUACUAUAGCUUGACACUGAACACUGGUCCUUGAUGUGCAGGAUAGGUGGGAGGCUUUGAAGUGUGGACGCCAGUCUGCAUGGAGCCAUCCUUGAAAUACCACCCUUUAAUGG